Molecule: ribosomal RNA, 557 nt
Filed under: Nocardia sp.
Lineage: Bacteria; Bacillati; Actinomycetota; Actinomycetes; Mycobacteriales; Nocardiaceae
Description: bacterial SSU rRNA
Rfam family: Bacterial small subunit ribosomal RNA
Source: RNAcentral
CGGCGACGGGUGAGUAACACGUGGGUGAUCUGCCUCGCACUCUGGGAUAAGCCUGGGAAACUGGGUCUAAUACCGGAUAUGACUUCUGGUCGCAUGGCCGGGGGUGGAAAGAUUUAUCGGUGCGAGAUGAGCCCGCGGCCUAUCAGCUUGUUGGUGGGGUAAUGGCCCACCAAGGCGACGACGGGUAGCCGGCCUGAGAGGGCGACCGGCCACACUGGGACUGAGACACGGCCCAGACUCCUACGGGAGGCAGCAGUGGGGAAUAUUGCACAAUGGGCGGAAGCCUGAUGCAGCGACGCCGCGUGAGGGAUGACGGCCUUCGGGUUGUAAACCUCUUUCGACAGGGACGAAGCGCAAGUGACGGUACCUGUAGAAGAAGCACCGGCCAACUACGUGCCAGCAGCCGCGGUAAUACGUAGGGUGCGAGCGUUGUCCGGAAUUACUGGGCGUAAAGAGCUUGUAGGCGGCUUGUCGCGUCGAUCGUGAAAACUCACAGCUCAACUGUGAGCUUGCGGUCGAUACGGGCAGGCUUGAGUACUGCAGGGGAACUGUGGGAA